UGCCAGCCGCCGCGGUAAUACGGAGGGUGCAAGCGUUGUUCGGAAUUAUUGGGCGUAAAGGGCGCGCAGGCGGUCUUGUCCGUCAGAUGUGAAAGCCAGUGGCUCAACCAUUGAACUGCAUUUGAAACUGGCGAACUUGAGUACGGGAGAGGAAAGUGGAAUUCCGAGUGUAGGGGUGAAAUCCGUAGAUAUUCGGAGGAACACCAGUGGCGAAGGCGGCUUUCUGGACCGAUACUGACGCUGAGACGCGAAAGCGUGGGGAGCAAACAGGAUUAGAUA
This 279-nucleotide ribosomal RNA is filed under the name uncultured bacterium. RNAcentral describes it as "partial 16S ribosomal RNA". It matches the Rfam family "Bacterial small subunit ribosomal RNA", at positions 506 to 784 of the family's 1533-position model. The record is from RNAcentral.